Molecule: ribosomal RNA, 254 nt
Filed under: uncultured bacterium
Lineage: Bacteria
Description: partial 16S ribosomal RNA
Rfam family: Bacterial small subunit ribosomal RNA
Source: RNAcentral
CAACCAAAGCCGGCGACCGGCGCACGGGUGAGUAACACGUAUCCAACCUGCCGAUAACUCGGGGAUAGCCUUUCGAAAGAAAGAUUAAUACCCGAUGGUAUAAUCAGACCGCAUGGUUUGAUUAUUAAAGAAUUUCGGUUAUCGAUGGGGAUGCGUUCCAUUAGGCAGUUGGUGAGGUAACGGCUCACCAAACCUUCGAUGGAUAGGGGUUCUGAGAGGAAGGUCCCCCACAUUGGAACUGAGACACGGUCCAA